UACGUAGGGGGCGAGCGUUGUCCGGAAUCAUUGGGCGUAAAGCGCGUGUAGGUGGCUUCGUAAGUCUGGUGUGAAAUCUUGGGGCUCAACCCCAAGCGGUCACUGGAUACUGCGAGGAUUGAGUCCGGAAGAGGAGAGUGGAAUUCCUGGUGUAGCGGUGGAAUGCGCAGAUAUCAGGAGGAACACCCAUGGCGAAGGCAGCUCUCUGGUACGUGACUGACACUGAGACGCGAAAGCGUGGGGAGCGAACAGG
This 253-nucleotide ribosomal RNA is filed under the name uncultured bacterium. RNAcentral describes it as "partial 16S ribosomal RNA". It matches the Rfam family "Bacterial small subunit ribosomal RNA", at positions 524 to 776 of the family's 1533-position model. The record is from RNAcentral.